This 478-nucleotide ribosomal RNA is filed under the name uncultured bacterium. RNAcentral describes it as "partial 16S ribosomal RNA". It matches the Rfam family "Bacterial small subunit ribosomal RNA", at positions 28 to 523 of the family's 1533-position model. The record is from RNAcentral.
GACGAACGCUGGCGGCGUGCUUAACACAUGCCAGUCGAACGGUAAGGCCCUUCGGGGUACACGAGUGGCGAACGGGUGAGUAACACGUGGGUGAUCUGCCCUGCACUUCGGGAUAAGCCUAGGAAACUGGGUCUAAUACCGGAUAGGACUCCGGACUGCAUGGUCUGGGGUGGAAAGCUUUUGCGGUGUGGGAUGGGCCCGCGGCCUAUCAGCUUGUUGGUGGGGUGAUGGCCUACCAAGGCGACGACGGGUAGCCGGCCUGAGAGGGUGACCGGCCACACUGGGACUGAGAUACGGCCCAGACUCCUACGGGAGGCAGCAGUGGGGAAUAUUGCACAAUGGGCGCAAGCCUGAUGCAGCGACGCCGCGUGAGGGAUGACGGCCUUCGGGUUGUAAACCUCUUUCAGCAUCGACGAAGCGAAAGUGACGGUAGGUGCAGAAGAAGGACCGGCCAACUACGUGCCAGCCGCCGCGGUAG